UGUGCUCUUCCGAUCUUCCAAUUAUAUGUUGUAAAUCCAUUGAAGUGCCAACUGUUAACAAUAUAGUCAUAGUUCCUAUCCAUUAUGGAAAGUUAAAAAAGAAAUACAGACUCUAUCUCCUUUACUGAGGCAUGUUAAUAGGUCAUUCCCUUUCAAUCUAACAAAAACAUUUGUAGCUUCUAUGAUGACUAAAACCAAUAGUAUUGAGGUCCAGACUGUGAAUCUCCUAUUCAUCUGCAAAAUCAUUUGCAGGAUGAAUGAAGAAAAUUCACUAUCUGUCUCAGUCUUAUAAACAGUCAGUAUCCACAGCCACUUAUUAUCUGUUGCUACUGUUCCAUUUAUCAAUUACAUUGGAGAACAAGAAAGCCAAGACAUGUAAAACUUCCAACAAAAGCACCAAUUCCAUGAAGAAAAAAUUAAACCUGAAAGGAAGGAUAAUUCUGGAGAUGGUUAUGAGGAGAUUGGAAUGGUGAUGAGUACACACUUAGAGAUAAAAUAUAUUAGAAGAAUAAAAAGAUAGUAUAUGCCCUUCUCUAUUUAAUUAUCCCUUGAUAACAGAUCCAGUUAUUCAAUGGAACUGUUGUAGUUUAUUUUAUAAUUUUGCUGAUAUAAAGACUUUAAUCUCUUCCACCUUUCCUUUCUAUCUUGCUUUCUAGGAGACACAGUUAAAACCUGGAGAUAUAAUUACUCUAAGGCAGGUAUAUUAAAUAAGAGGCCCACAGCCUGCAUGCACUUCAGUAUAGUUUACUCACUAGCAUAAACAUUUUUAGCAAUCAUAUAUUUUAUAUUAUUUAAUUACUGUCAUAAUUCAUAAACAGAAUAAUUAUUUCAUCUGUUUACUUUACUGAUACAAUUUACCUAAUUUUCG
RNAcentral lists this long non-coding RNA (868 nucleotides) under Androctonus crassicauda. The record is from RNAcentral. Lineage: Eukaryota; Metazoa; Arthropoda; Arachnida; Scorpiones; Buthidae.